GACGAACGCUGGCGGCGUGCUUAACACAUGCAAGUCGAACGGAAAGGCCCUGCUUUUGUGGGGUGCUCGAGUGGCGAACGGGUGAGUAACACGUGAGUAACCUGCCCUUGACUUUGGGAUAACUUCAGGAAACUGGGGCUAAUACCGGAUAGGAGCUCCUGCUGCUUGGUGGGGGUUGGAAAGUUUCGGCGGUUGGGGAUGGACUCGCGGCUUAUCAGCUUGUUGGUGGGGUAGUGGCUUACCAAGGCUUUGACGGGUAGCCGGCCUGAGAGGGUGACCGGCCACAUUGGGACUGAGAUACGGCCCAGACUACUACGGGACGCAGCAGUGGGGAAUAUUGUACAAUGGGCGGAAGCCUGAUGCAGCAACGCCGCGUGGGGGAUGACGGCCUUCGGGUUGUAAACCGAUUUCGCCUGUGACGAGGCGUGAGUGACGGUAAUGGGUAAAGAAGCACCGGCUAACUACGUG
RNAcentral lists this ribosomal RNA (468 nucleotides) under uncultured bacterium. RNAcentral's name for it is "partial 16S ribosomal RNA". It matches the Rfam family "Bacterial small subunit ribosomal RNA", at positions 28 to 507 of the family's 1533-position model. The record is from RNAcentral.